UCCCUGGUGGCUCAGAUGGUAAAGAAUCUGCCUACAAUGCAGGAGACCCAGGUUCGAUCUCUGGGUUGGGAA
Molecule: transfer RNA, 72 nt
Filed under: Capra hircus (goat)
Lineage: Eukaryota; Metazoa; Chordata; Mammalia; Artiodactyla; Bovidae
Also listed under: 1 other name
Rfam family: tRNA
About the family: Transfer RNA (tRNA) molecules are approximately 80 nucleotides in length. Their secondary structure includes four short double-helical elements and three loops (D, anti-codon, and T loops). Further hydrogen bonds mediate the characteristic L-shaped molecular structure. tRNAs have two regions of fundamental functional importance: the anti-codon, which is responsible for specific mRNA codon recognition, and the 3' end, to which the tRNAs corresponding amino acid is attached (by aminoacyl-tRNA synthetases). tRNAs cope with the degeneracy of the genetic code in two manners: having more than one tRNA (with a specific anti-codon) for a particular amino acid; and 'wobble' base-pairing, i.e. permitting non-standard base-pairing at the 3rd anti-codon position.
Source: Rfam by way of RNAcentral